CGCCCGGUGCGCAGGCAGCGGUUACUUCCACUCUUAAUGGGCAGGUUGCGGGUUCGAAUCCCGUCCGGUCUU
This 72-nucleotide transfer RNA is filed under the name Actinomadura craniellae. RNAcentral's name for it is "Actinomadura sp. LHW63021 tRNA-Lys". The record is from RNAcentral. Lineage: Bacteria; Bacillati; Actinomycetota; Actinomycetes; Streptosporangiales; Thermomonosporaceae.